Molecule: ribosomal RNA, 628 nt
Filed under: Pediococcus sp. YCO-02
Lineage: Bacteria; Bacillati; Bacillota; Bacilli; Lactobacillales; Lactobacillaceae
Description: bacterial SSU rRNA
Rfam family: Bacterial small subunit ribosomal RNA
Source: RNAcentral
CUUUGUAUGUGAAGCCUUCGGCUCACCGAAGAAGUGCAUUGGAAACUGGGAGACUUGAGUGCAGAAGAGGACAGUGGAACUCCAUGUGUAGCGGUGAAAUGCGUAGAUAUAUGGAAGAACACCAGUGGCGAAGGCGGCUGUCUGGUCUGCAACUGACGCUGAGGCUCGAAAGCAUGGGUAGCGAACAGGAUUAGAUACCCUGGUAGUCCAUGCCGUAAACGAUGAUUACUAAGUGUUGGAGGGUUUCCGCCCUUCAGUGCUGCAGCUAACGCAUUAAGUAAUCCGCCUGGGGAGUACGACCGCAAGGUUGAAACUCAAAAGAAUUGACGGGGGCCCGCACAAGCGGUGGAGCAUGUGGUUUAAUUCGAAGCUACGCGAAGAACCUUACCAGGUCUUGACAUCUUCUGACAGUCUAAGAGAUUAGAGGUUCCCUUCGGGGACAGAAUGACAGGUGGUGCAUGGUUGUCGUCAGCUCGUGUCGUGAGAUGUUGGGUUAAGUCCCGCAACGAGCGCAACCCUUAUUACUAGUUGCCAGCAUUAAGUUGGGCACUCUAGUGAGACUGCCGGUGACAAACCGGAGGAAGGUGGGGACGACGUCAAAUCAUCAUGCCCCUUAUGACCCUGGGCU